UGGCUCAGUGGUAGAGAACCUGCCUGCAAUGCAGGAGACUUGCACAAGUCAGGGGUUCAACCCCU
Molecule: transfer RNA, 65 nt
Filed under: Bos taurus (domestic cattle)
Lineage: Eukaryota; Metazoa; Chordata; Mammalia; Artiodactyla; Bovidae
Also listed under: 4 other names
Source: Rfam by way of RNAcentral